GCAGCCCAUUCACCCGGCUGCCUGCCGGAGCCUCGACCCAGACACCUUUGAUGGCUGCCCUUUGCUCCGUCUGGUCCGGGUGGACAAAUGAGGGAAAUUGAUGCCCCAAAUGACAGAGGCAGCCUGGUUACUAUGGUUCCCCUGAGCCAAUGGAUCUCCAGUGGCCUCCCAGUGGUGGCCAGAGCUUGAGAGUCUCUCACAGUCAAAUGGAGAAGCCACAACCUUUGAGCAGGGACCAGGCCAAGAUCUGCCCUCCAGCAAGUUCACCUGUUUGCAUCAGGAGACAGGAAGGUAUUCCUCACCUCCUCCUGGAUGCCUUCCAAACUUCCUAGACGGCCUUAGAACUGCCUCCUUCAGAACUCCGACCUCUCCUGUUGUCAGGGCCUCACACAAAGGCCUCGCCAUGUGGAUGGACCCUAACCAUCUGCUCUGUGUGGGGCACUGAACUGGGCAAAACCCAGGGGCUUUGAAGACCCCUGAAGCUCCAAUAGCUGCCCUCAGGGAUCUUAUGGCUGGCUACAGUUGGGGUGCCUGCUGGUUCAUAAAGGGACUGAAGUACCCAACUGCAGGGCAUGAAGUCUUGUCCAGGGCAUUCAUGCCACAGCCUGGGUCCUGCCGCAGUCUCCCUCCUGACUUGUAGUUUCCUGAUGUGCCAGGCUCGCCCAGACCUCUUAGUCUAUACAGAUCCUGUUCCCUCUGCCUGGGACUCCCUUCCCUUUCUCUUCUGCCUGGCAAAGGCCACUGUCUUCUAGAUGAUAGAAAUGUGAGUAAUUUUUACAUUCAUUUUUAUAUUGUUUUCAAAUCACUGGGCAUAUAUUAUUUGUCUAAUUAGAGAGGAAGAUAAUACCCAUUUUGUUUUGAGAAAUAAAUACUUUGACUUAAAAAAAAUGACAAUUCAUUACUUGGAGAGGCAACACCUUAAGUCAUUAUGUGUCUAAUUUUUCAGAUCAGGGAGUUUUGAAAAGGAUCCCCUGGAGAGGAUGGAAGAAAUGCAGGUUCCCUGGCUCAGGUGGCCCAAGGGUGGCCCAGCAGCCCCAGUGGUUCCGAGGGCAGCCAGGCCUUCGACUCCAGACCUCGGAGAUGAGCUCCAGGAGCUGCCAGAGUGGUGGGAAGGGAAGAGGGCAAGCUAAUAAUGCUUUGCCACCCUGGCCUGCUGUUCCUGACACUCCCUCAUGGGGCAGGGCCAAGAUGAGAGGUUCCCAGUUCCUUUAAGUGGGAGCCGCCACAUGCCUAGCCGUGUCUAAUAGACACUGGGGAAACGGCAAGGAAGGCUGCCUUGAUGGCAGGGUGCGCCCAAUCUUUGGGCUUGGAUGAGGCUUGGAGAGGUCAUUCAGUCCAUUCUUCUGCCUCUAGGCAGCCCUGGCAUGAUUCCAGUUGGGCCUUUAUCUUGUUCUGAGGACUCCCAGUUUCCCUCCUCGGCCAAUCAUUCUCAUGCCUUAACAUUUCUAGCCAGGAAGUACUUCCUCAUGUCUAAUCCAAACUCUCUCCGCCAUGGGAUGCCAUCCUAUGGCUCUUGUGAGUCUGGCUAGAGACAGGAAAAUGCCUCUUGCUUCCCUGCCUCCUCCUAGGUCGGGAGCCCUAGAGCCUUGAAUCAGGACCAAAGUCCUGUCUGUGUGACCCUAAGCAAAUCACUACUACUCUUUGGGCUUUGGUUUCCUCACCUGUAAAAUGGGGCCAAUGAUAUCCAUAGUGUAGGAACCAAGAGGACUGAAUGAGACUGAAUGCAAAUGUGUGGAAGAGGCAUACAGCUUGCUGCUAACGUGAGGCUAUAAUUAUUAUUAUUAAUAAUAAUAACCACCAUCCUGGCUGAACCAUUGUACAAAAUCGUUUCCAUUGUGAAGGUACACAGGGUAGUUUUAGGUGAUACAAGAACAGGUAUUUUAAAUGAAAAUUUAAUGUGUGUUAGAAAAAACCCCGGCACAUCAAAUCCAGGAUUUCACAAAUAUUUAACAAGGGCAAGUUAAGACAAAAACUGAACAUGGUUUUAAAGAAAACUAUUAAGUAAACGAUGCUCCGGGUAGCACAGGGUUAGGGCAGAAAUUGUAAAGGUGGUUUGGAAAAUGCCGGCUGAGUGGAGACAGACGGGAUGUGGGAGGAGGAGGUUGGUUCUUCAGAGUGGGCAAGAGAGGCUGAGCUGGGGAGGGAAGUCCCCAGGGACGGGAGGAGACACCUGUUGAGCGGCUGUUGAGCAUCCUGCCCACAGAUGCAGCCCUCUCUGGUUCUGGAACAGUUUGUCUUCCCCAGAGCUGGGUUGUUACAAAUUCCAGCAAGGCUGGUGGGCAGGCAGGGUUGGGAUUUCCUGCCCACAAUUAUGGUCCCCAAGAGCUCAGAGCCCUCUCUGCAUGCAGCUUUCCCCUCUGGGGAGAACUGAACAAUACCAACCCCACCCUGGAAUCCCUGCUGCAGCAUCGCCCACCCAUGGUUGCGAGCCUGUGGUGUGGAACUCAGCCAGUGACUGGGAAACCACAGCUUCCCAAACAGAUCCCCUCUUCCACGCUUAACGUGGGGCUGGCCAAAGAGGCCCUGGCAGAGAAGGUCCUCUGAGACCCACUGUGUGCCGGGUCCCUCUCUGAGCACCAGGGACACAGAGUGAGCAAAAGAGGCCCCUGCCUUUCAGGAGCUCACAGCCAAGCCAGGGAGACCCACCUCUCCAGAAGUUUUGGGAGAAGCUCCAGGCCCCUCGUUUAUCUUCCAUCCCCCAAACCUAGAACUGAGCAUUAUUAUGCUUCCUCUUGAGCUGGGGUUCCUCAAAGCCUGGGAUCUGUAGACAAGUUCUCUGGAGUUUGAGAGCUCUCUGUGAGACUAUACAAUGUUUGUGUUUUCAUUUGGAAAUAAUAUAAAAAAUGAAUAUAAACAUAUUCUAUAUCAUCUGGAUGCCUGGCUCACAGCCGAUUAUGGAAUCACAAAGUUUUAAUGUCUACAUUUGCACUGACGUUUAUAGAAAGCAGUUAACUUUUUUUUUUUUUUAAGCGGAAGCUACAUACAGUAGAAUAUACAAAGCUUAAGUAUAGAGCUGGAUGAAUUUUCACAAAGAACACAUCUGUGAAAUCAACACUCAGAUCAAGAAACACAAUAUUAUUACUGCCCUCUGGACACCCUCCUUAAAAUCUUCCACAUCCCCCCAGAGGUAACCACUAUCCUGACUUCUCCGAACUUGAUAUAAGUGGGUCAUAUAGGAUGACUCUUUCUUGACCCUGACCUCUUUCUCUCACCCUGUGAAUUUCAUCCCUGUUGUUGGCCUGUAGCCAUAGUUGACAAUGGUUUUAGCUUCUAAUCCAACAUUUCUCAAAGAGCGAUUUUCAGCAGUGGUUCUAAGGGGUCUAUGAAUCCACCAUUUGGAACAAAGCAAAUGUGGGUGGCUGCUGACUCAUAAAGAGAUUAAAACACCCAACUGCAGGGCAUGCAGCCUUGUCCUGUGCGUUCACUCCACAGCCUAGGUCCUGCUGCAGUCUCCCUCUUGACCUGUAGCUUCCCUGAUGUGCCAGGCUCGCCAGGCCUCUUGGUCUUUGCAGAUGCUCUUCCCUCUGCCUGGCACUCCCUUCCUUUGCUCGUCUGCCUGGCAAAGACCAGGCAUGUCUUGUGGCCUCUGAAAGGCUACUUCCUCUGGGAGGUCACCCCUGGCUUUGCUGGGCAGGUUCAGGCACCCCUUCUCUUGUGAGCCCUCUGUGUUCUGCCCAUGUUCUCCCUGCAGCAUUUACCACGCUGUGCGGUCGUUGCAGGUCUGUUUCCUAGUUAGGCUGUGGAUUCUUCUUUUUUAUUGAAGUAUAAUUGAUUUACAACAUUGUCUUAGUUUCUGA
Molecule: long non-coding RNA, 3797 nt
Organism: Bubalus bubalis (water buffalo)
Lineage: Eukaryota; Metazoa; Chordata; Mammalia; Artiodactyla; Bovidae
Exons: 3
Source: RefSeq, a predicted model, not a curated record